RNAcentral lists this signal recognition particle RNA (97 nucleotides) under Candidatus Malacoplasma girerdii. Its description in RNAcentral is "Candidatus Mycoplasma girerdii Bacterial small signal recognition particle RNA". It matches the Rfam family "Bacterial small signal recognition particle RNA". From Rfam's summary of the family: The signal recognition particle (SRP) is a universally conserved ribonucleoprotein involved in the co-translational targeting of proteins to membranes. Archaeal SRP consists of a 7S RNA and homologues of the eukaryotic SRP19 and SRP54 proteins. In most bacteria, the SRP consists of a 4.5S RNA and the Ffh protein (a homologue of the eukaryotic SRP54 protein). The record is from Rfam by way of RNAcentral. Lineage: Bacteria; Bacillati; Mycoplasmatota; Mycoplasmoidales; Mycoplasmoidaceae.
UAUACUAACUAUUACAACAUUAGUGGCUAAUUGUGUCAGGAUGGAAACAUAGCAGCACCGUGCAUUGAUUAAUGUGUGUAAUAGUUUUUUUAUUACG